GCAGGGCCAGCCAGACCAUUGGUCCCAAUGGGACAACGGCUUUAGGCGGCACUUUGACAGGGGCGGCAUUAUGUGGAGUGGUCCUUUAAAGACCAUUCAAUUCCAGAAAUGCUAGCAAAUGUACAGAUUUUAAUUUAGAGCUAUUUAAAGGACCACUAAAGUGCCAGGAAAAUAAAUUAGUUUUCCUGGCACUAUAGUGCCCUGAGGGGGCCCCCACCCGCAGGGACCCACUCCCGUGGCACAGAAAGGGAUGGAAGGGGUUAAUCCCUUACCUCUUUUCCAGCGCCGGGCUCCCUCGGCGCUGGGACUCUCCUCCCUCUUCUUCAGUCAUCGGCUGAAUGUGCGUGCAUUCAGCCAGUCCAUAGGAAAGCAUUUUUAAUGCUUUCCUAUGGACGCUGGCGUCUUCUCACUGUGAAAAUCACAGUGAGAAGCGCGAAAGCGCCUCUAGCGGCUGUCCAUGAGACAACCACUAGAGGCUGGAUUAACCCAUAGGUAAACCUAGCAGUUUCUCUGAAUCUGCUAUGUUUACAGCAGAAAG
Pelobates cultripes (western spadefoot toad) is the source of this 538-nucleotide non-coding RNA. NCBI's taxonomy places the organism in Eukaryota, Metazoa, Chordata, Amphibia, Anura, Pelobatidae. The record is from the annotation of a GenBank genome assembly.